This is a long non-coding RNA of Mugil cephalus (flathead mullet), 2533 nucleotides long. RefSeq lists it as uncharacterized. The record is from RefSeq and is a predicted model, not a curated record. Lineage: Eukaryota; Metazoa; Chordata; Actinopteri; Mugiliformes; Mugilidae. The transcript is spliced from 4 exons.
AUUCGUGGUUUCCUUCAGUUUAACUUGAACAUGAGAGGAAAGGUCACGGCUCCUGCAAAGGGUCAUGAAAUAAGUUUCACUUGAGUGUUUUUGAACAAAUUCUAUUAAUAAGUCAACGUCCACGUGAAAAAAAAAGUUUAAAUUUCAAUUGGCUGAUCUGAGACAGAGUUCAGACAUGUUUCCCCUCCUCCACUUGUGUUCCAAAUAAAGUGAGCGGAAACAGCAGCUCAGUCUGAACCCGCUCUGCUCAACCCUAAAGAGACUAAUAAACAAGUCUGCACUGUAACCUACAAAAGAAACUCAUCCAUCAUCAUCGGGGGCCGGUCUGAGGCGCCCUCUGCUGGCGGUGCAGCUGCAUCACAAACAGCUCAAACACACAACCCCGCCAAGUGUUCAUCAUCCGUGACAACACAAACCUGCUUCUCCAACAAAUAAGUAAAUAAAUAAAUAAAUAACGGUGUUAAUUCAUUAUUAAAUUUAAGAAGUCCGCAUUUAAUUCCACGUGAGAGAUUUGUGAGUGUGUGUUGUGGUUGUGUAUUAUUAUAAAUCUGCUAUUUAAAUACCAAAUAAACAGUUUUCUUGUGAAUAUUGACCUUGAUAUAAGAUUUUAAUAUUUAAAUUUGGGGGAAAAAUGUUUAAAUAUUUAAAUUAUAUGCGCUUAAAAUGAUUAUUGCUAUGCUUCAUCUCUGCUCUUGUGUUUCCCCAAGUCCCAUUUCAAGCCAUAAAAACAGGCUUGUGGCAAAGCAGGGGAAACAAAAGAGGAAUAAAAUUCAGAUUUACGCAGCUUGUUUGGAGCCAUUUAGCCUAAAAUAUGAGAGGAAUAAAGCUGCAUCUAUCUCUCAUCUUCUUCAUUUUUCUUUGCACACUUGAGCGUGUGGUGACGGUGCAAAGUCUGGCACUGGCAGCAGCGCGCUUCCUCCUGACGCAUGUGGGGCUGCAGCCUCCACCGUCUACUGACCCAGCGAUGAUCCCCGCCGCCAUGAAUUAUGCAUGAGAUCCGGGUACAGAUUACCCCUAUCAAUAUGCAAUACUCAUUACGCUGGUUAAAUUGCCACUUAAUAGUUAUGAAUAUGUGGAAAAUGUCUGGGACGCAUAUAGCCCACCAAUGUUUUUAACUUUUCCCUUUUUCUUUCUUUCUUUCUUUUUUUUUUUUUUUUUUUAAAAUCUAGACUGAGUUUGAAAAGACGUUAAAAUAUAUUAGUCCCCAGCAGAUAAUGUAAUAUAUAUCUAUUAUAUUUUUUUAAAUAAUUUAAUUUGGACAAUGCACUAUGCUGGGAUUUCUUUUCGUGCAAUCAGUGUCCAGCUCGGAGGUGUCCGGGACUUCACCUUUGGCCGCUGGGUGACUUGACAGAUCGGGAUAAAUCAUUCCCAGGACCUCGCUCAAGUUCGUUUUGUGGCAGCUCCACAAAAGCUCUUAUUAGCCUCAAAGGGUUUAUUUUUGUUCCUUUAAAUCAGUUUGUGUUGGGAAUAUAACAAAAAAUAAAAAAAUACAUAGAAGAAAUUGUCAAUAUAUUGUCACAUUCUGAGCUGAAAUAAUAAUUUUAGUAAAAUAUAAAUAACUGGUGCUGAUUAUUAUGGUUAUUUUUACCUCAAAAUGGAGCCUUUUAGGAAACAAAAUUUUGAAUUAAAUGAAUUAAAAGCAGCAUUCAGGCUGCCGUGGGCCGUGUGAAAAAUAAAAAUAACAAAUAAGGGGCAAUUGUACCAAGUUUUCCAGCAGUUUAAAGCAACUAAAUAUGACUGGACACUGCUUCCUUCCCCUGUCCAGCCUUCUGCAGUCCCAUCCAUGCAGUUAAGCCGUCACUUUCAUUCAAGGUUGUGAAUUAUAUAGUACAUUGUCUACUCCCCAAAACCAUAAAACCAACUUUAUGGACCUCACGUGACUUUUCACAGUCUGUAAGUAAUAUAGGCCUAUACAAUCUUUGGUAAGAGGGGAUUUUUACCAACUUCAGCCUUGACUAUAUACCUGUAAAGCCAAAGCCACUCUUUUUUUUUUUUUUUUUCUCCAGGGGGGAAAUAUUUUGUUGUUGUUUUUUUUUUUUCCUUUAAGUCUGCACAUGGCAAACUCGCAUCGAGACGAGGUGUGAGCUCAUCCUGAUUCCUGAUUCAUCAACACCUCUGACCGAAAGUCCACGAAGACGCGCACAGAGAGAGAGGCUGGGAGGACACAGCUCAUCAUCAUCACCAUCAUCACCAUCCCCAUCAUCACUUUAGCACACCGUGAUCAAGUGGACAAUAACUCCACAAUUUCAAAAAACGCCAAAGCAGAAAAAGCCAACGAGCUGAACAAAGACAGCGGAUGCAGAGACGCUGUAAAACUUUAUGGCCUCUGAAGUUAGAAUGAAAAACGUCCAGAUGAAACCACAGACUCACUCAUUCAAAAUGAUCUGGGGGAGAAAAAGCUUCAGUCCGAGGGCCUCUCGGGAGCCGGUUUUCCUCACUGCCCUUUACUGUACUGGGGGCCCUGACGGGACGGCUUGCGGACGUCGUGAGAGAAGCCAGGCCUCCUGACCAGCGGGGCCCGGGAGGAGAUGAC